RNAcentral lists this ribosomal RNA (432 nucleotides) under Gigaspora margarita. RNAcentral's name for it is "SSU rRNA". It matches the Rfam family "Eukaryotic small subunit ribosomal RNA", at positions 630 to 1065 of the family's 1831-position model. Lineage: Eukaryota; Fungi; Glomeromycota; Glomeromycetes; Diversisporales; Gigasporaceae. The record is from RNAcentral.
GANAGUNGAAUUUCGGGGUUCUNGCCGUUGGUCGGNCAAUAAGUCUGUAACUGGCGUGUAGAAUUUCUACCUUCUGGGGAACCAUCAUGUUAUUUAUUUAGCGUGGUGGGAAACCAGGACCUUUACCUUGAAAAAAUUAGAGUGUUCAAAGCAGGCUUACGUCUGAAUACAUUAGCAUGGAAUAAUAAAAUAGGACGGUGGUCCUGUUUUGUUGGUUUCUGAAUCACCGUAAUGAUUAAUAGGGAUAGUUGGGGGCAUUAGUAUUCAAUUGUCAGAGGUGAAAUUCUUGGAUUUAUUGAAGACUAACUUCUGCGAAAGCAUUUGCCAAGGAUGUUUUCAUUAAUCAAGAACGAAAGUUAGGGGAUCGAAGACGAUCAGAUACCGUCGUAGUCUUAACCAUAAACUAUGCCGACUAGGGAUCGGACGAUGUUA